RNAcentral lists this unclassified non-coding RNA (253 nucleotides) under Alternaria sp. RNAcentral describes it as "partial contains 5.8S ribosomal RNA, internal transcribed spacer 2, and large subunit ribosomal RNA". The stretch from base 1 to 52 matches the Rfam family "5.8S ribosomal RNA", at positions 103 to 154 of the family's 154-position model. Lineage: Eukaryota; Fungi; Ascomycota; Dothideomycetes; Pleosporales; Pleosporaceae. The record is from RNAcentral. RNAcentral also lists the same sequence under 3 other names.
AACGCACAUUGCGCCCUUUGGUAUUCCAAAGGGCAUGCCUGUUCGAGCGUCAUUUGUACCCUCAAGCUUUGCUUGGUGUUGGGCGUCUUUUGUCUCCAGUUCGCUGGAGACUCGCCUUAAAGUCAUUGGCAGCCGGCCUACUGGUUUCGGAGCGCAGCACAAGUCGCGCUCUUCGCCAGCCAAGGUCAGCGUCCAGCAAGCCUUUUUUUCAACCUUUGACCUCGGAUCAGGUAGGGAUACCCGCUGAACUUAA